Brassica napus (rape) is the source of this 3258-nucleotide long non-coding RNA. RefSeq lists it as uncharacterized. The transcript is spliced from 2 exons. NCBI's taxonomy places the organism in Eukaryota, Viridiplantae, Streptophyta, Magnoliopsida, Brassicales, Brassicaceae. The record is from RefSeq and is a predicted model, not a curated record.
CUAAUAUUUAUUAACCCUCUUUCUCUCACUGCUGUUGAUCAUCCCCUCUCUGUCCUCGAUCCGCUUCUCUCAUGGGGCCAUAGACGCACACUGCGACACUGGUCUGUGGUCUCAACUUCACCCGCCUCCGUCUCCAUGGACGGAUCGAAGGAAACGUCAAUGAGCUCUGUGCUCAACUCGAGAAAUCUAGGCCGAUAAAAGUUGAAUCUGGAAAUUCCAACAAGAAGAAGAGAAGAUCUGAUUACGAUUCGCCCCAUGCUGCUCCUGUACGAAGAAGGUACAUUGAUAUGAACGAUGAUACUGACGGAGGAGAAGACCGGAUUGGGGUGUUCAGGAGAAAGCUAUCUGAUGAUUUUGAUAGAAUCGUUGGAGAGAUGACAACCAAAGCCAAUAAGAAAUCAAUUAAAUCUGGUUUACUACUAACAUCUAAUUUUUGAACUUUUUGUUUAUUCAGAUUUAUAGCUCCAUGAGAUUUUCUACGAACAUAGAAAGUGAACAGAAACACAAGAUUUGGGAUCAGUGGAGAAUCUUCAGAUCUUUGUAAGCUAUUAUUGAAUGGUGGGGUUUCUGUGUAUAUUGUAAUGACCAAAUAAAUCUUUUACGUAAUAUAAAAGUCAACUAUUCCUAGGAUCAGUGUUGUUUUCUGCCGAGUAGUAAACCUGAAGAUAACUAUUCCUACUCAUUUUUUCAUGUAUUUCAUAGCUGAAGCGAGAGAAGAGAUGAGCAGCUGAUUAUAAAAAGGUUAUUACUUGCAGGAAAGAUGUGCUGCAGUGGACACUGUUUCUCUUGUGGCUCGAAUACUGCAUAUCAAAGGCUCAUCUUCAAUCCAUGCUUAUGUCAAGAAAUGGCUCUUUGGUUGAAGACUUCUUUGGUCAACUGGUUGGUUCCGUACCUGAUCUGACAGAGCACUUACACAUGACAACUGCGAUGAUCCUGCGGCAUGUUAAUGGGUAAAUUGCCAAUCUACUUAAGAGAGUUAUUAGAUGUCUGUGACAAAAAAAAAAUGUUAUUAGAUGGAUUCAAUCUCUAUCCUCCCUUUUGUGCCUUUUAUUCUUAUUCUUACUGGCCUCUGGAUUUAAAAAAAAACUGUUAUAUAACUUUUUAACUCAAUCGGUAUGUUAAAGUCAAGCCUUGGUUUUGUAUGAUAUAUGUUCUCAUUGGAGUAUGUCGACCGGAUUGCUAACUCUAAAUGGGAAGUCAAGGAGCUUGGAGUGGAGCAUAAUGGGUUUGUUACUUCCUUCUGUUACUCCAUUUGCUCUUCCAAAUUUGUACCUGCAACUUUAAUUAAAUAGUGAAAUACUCAACUAUAUUUGAUGUUCAUAGUCUUACAAAAGUAUUAUUUUAGAGUUCUCGUGUAGUAUAAAGUUAUCAUUGGAGCCUACUUAUUAUCUGAGUUAAGAUUUAGAUAUUCAGCACACGGUAUUGAUGCUCUUAAAACAGAUUCUGAUCAUUCAUGGCUUCACUGCCAUCUUAUAUGUACUAAACUAUUUGAACAAACAUGUAUGUUGAUUUGAUCCUUGGGGAAUUCAAACACUACAAACACAAGGCUUGCUCACGGAGGCAUUCCACAGGAGGUAAAUGUCUCUCUGACCUCAUCAUUAAUUCUAGGAGUUGAUUACAUUUUCUUCUCAAACUCUUAACUCUUUUUCGUAUAUAGGUUCAAAACCUCCUGCUGGAAUAUGGAAUUGAAAUAUUCGCGGAGACGCUGGUGGAAGGUCUAUCUAGGAUAAAAAUAUGCACCGAUGAAGGACGAGCUCUCAUGUCUUUAGAUAUUCAGGUACAUUUCCUCUUUGUUUGCUUUUUUAUCCAGUGUAGUUUCUUCUACACGACAUCAAGAAUGGACACGAAAGAAUGAAAGUAUCAGUUAACAUUGACAGACAUUCUGAUAUAGAAAAUAUUAAAUACACAGCGCAUCUAGAAAGGUGGUCAUGAUAGGACAAACCUUUAUUCUUUGCUGAUGAGAUAAAAGUAAAACACAAACAAUUGAUAAAUUGCAUGACAUGUCAUUUAAACAUGCGUCUGCGUUAUAGCUAUAUUGUGCAUAGGAAUGAUUUUGGUUGACAAUAUCUAUCGUUUUGUAGGUUCUAAUAAACGGGCUACAACACUUUCUUCAACAAAUGUGAAACCCGAUUCGUAAUGAGUGAUAUUUAAUAAAUAAAUUAUUAAAUUAUUUUGUAGUUGAUAACUCUAAUUUUUACUUUUAAUCAGUUUUUAUUUUUCAAAUAAUAUGAAUGAUAUUGAAGAAUGAAACUAAAAUGGUUUUACUUAGAAUGUAUUUUUUUUUCUUUGAACCAUCUUAUACUAAGCUAAAUGUUUUCUUCAAGCUUUAGAAUCCCUUGGUUAACUCAAUCACCUCAACAUUUAGCAUCACUAUUGCUUCAACAAACUUACAUUCAUUGGUGUUCAUAGUCAUUUUUUUGGACAAGUGAUUUAGAUAGUACCUAAAUACAUAUGACAAAAUUAGUACAUAAAAAUUAUUGAAUGAGCACAAAUUAAAUGAUAAAACGAUUAAAUUACUACAAACAUUAAAUCAUUAUCCUUUUAUCUAAACCCUAACCUCUUUCUUCCUCACUUUCAUUCUACGCUAAACCAUUUCUUCUUUAUUCACAAACCUCUAGAACGUUUACCUUCGCUCCGGUCUAAAUAAUGGUGUCCACAAACGCGCUCUCUUCCGCCUCCGUCCUCUGCUCCUCACGACAGGUGAAGGUUUUUUUUUUUAGAUCAGCCAUUUAUGUUCUCAUACUUUAUUUGUGAUUUGAAUUUUUAUUUCAUUCUAUAUCACUGCCCUUUUCUAUUCAGCUUCUUUAUUUUAUGUGGUUUUUUGGGUUUAUGUAAAAAUUGUUUCUUUCUCAAUUCAUCUUCUCUUUACCCCAUUGAUUGGUAAAAAAUGGUUACUUUCUAUGGGGAAAGAGAAAAAACUUGAUAGAAGAUGAAUCUGGUUGUAAUGGGCAUUGAUUCAUUCAUUUUCUUGUGGGUGUGCAGGAAAAGCUGAGUGGUGGAAACCAACAGAAAGGUCAAAGAGUAAGCUACAGGAAAGCAAGUAGAGGUUUUAGUGGUAGAGCAAGUAUAAAGGAGAUCUCUUUCGAUCAGAGCUCAAGACCUUCUCUUCAAGCUGGUAUUGAUAAGUUUGCUGAUGAUGUUGGUCUCACUCUUGGCCCUAGAGGUAUUCGUUACAAUCUCAAUGUCCGUUGUACCAAGUUGUGUCUCUCUUUUGUCUUAACCUUGUGGUCUUUUACAAGAGAGAAAUGUUGUGUUGGA